GACGAACGCUGGCGGCGUGCCUAACACAUGCAAGUCGAACGAAGCUCUUGACUUCAAGUUUUCGGACAAGAAGUUAAGAUGACUUAGUGGCGGACGGGUGAGUAAUACGUGAGCAACCUGCCUUUCAGUGGGGGACAACAGUUGGAAACGACUGCUAAUACCGCAUAAAAUACCGAGGGGGCAUCCCCAUGGUAUCAAAGAUUUAUCGCUGAGAGAUGGGCUCACGUCUGAUUAGUUAGUUGGUGAGGUAAUGGCUUACCAAGACUGCGAUCAGUAGCCGGGUUGAGAGACUGACCGGCCACAUUGGGACUGAGAUACGGCCCAGACUCCUACGGGAGGCAGCAGUGGGGAAUAUUGGGCAAUGGGGGAAACCCUGACCCAGCAACGCCGUGUGAAGGAAGAAGGCUUUCGGGUUGUAAACUUCUUUUUUCAGGGACGAAACAAAUGACGGUACCUGAAGAAUAAGCCACGGCUAACUACGUGCCAGCCGCCGCCGUAAAAC
RNAcentral lists this ribosomal RNA (502 nucleotides) under uncultured bacterium. RNAcentral describes it as "bacterial SSU rRNA". It matches the Rfam family "Bacterial small subunit ribosomal RNA", at positions 28 to 526 of the family's 1533-position model. The record is from RNAcentral.